Long non-coding RNA from Hydra vulgaris (swiftwater hydra), 998 nucleotides. RefSeq lists it as uncharacterized. The record is from RefSeq and is a predicted model, not a curated record. NCBI's taxonomy places the organism in Eukaryota, Metazoa, Cnidaria, Hydrozoa, Anthoathecata, Hydridae.
AUUUUAGUAAAUUUGACAUACUGCUCUAUUUUGCAGAACUAAAAAAUUUUCUGUUUUUCAAAUAUAACUUAAUCUAGCAGGAGUUAAACUAGGUUUCGGAAGGUCUAAACUGUAUCCCGGCCAUUUACCAGUACCUGUGGCGCACCUCGCUAACCAAAAAAACACUAUAUUUGGAUGGUGUUGUUUUGAUGCUGAACUAUUGACUGAAACUUCCGCAUCCUUACAUCUAACAUUUUUGAGGUUUGAAGCAGAGGCAGUGGUUCCAUCUCGUUCGAAAAAAGAUGGAUGGUUAUUUUAGCCAACUUGUGUUCAUGCAAUGAAAGCUACCUAUAAUAAUUUUCCAAUCGUUGAUUUCUGCAACAAGCUUAGACUUGAAAGAGUUAAAGUAACUGGAUGUCAUUAAAUUUGACAGUAAUUAUUGCUAUUUUAAUUGUUUUAUAUGAAUAAAAAAACUAUUAUAGUUUUAUUUCAACGGUGAAGUACUAUAUCAAAUAAACUAUUUUAUAUUUAUUUCGGAAUAAGUAAUAUUUUAAAUCUGUUUAUGGUAUUAUUAUUGCCUAGAUAUAUAUCGUAAUCUGUUUACACUUAUUCUACAUUUUUGUUUUUACAUUUUGUUUAUAUUUAUUUUACUAAUUAAUUACUAAUCAAUAAAGAAGUAUGUGCAGGAUUUAAGUUCACGACUAAAGAGGACUCCAAAGAAGAAUGGAAUAAAGUUCUGGUGGAUUAAAGAUCGAGGAAUGAUUUGGUUUUAACUGGUUUGCAUCUUAUGAACGAAGUACAUAAUAUGAUUUGAUGAUUUAUAGUUACACCUAUUGAAAUUCUGUAUCUCAAUGAUAUCCUGGCUUUUCGAUACGAUAUCCUGUAAAUCCACUCACACACAUAAAUUUUACCCACACAUGUAAAUCCUGUAAACUCACUCACACACAUAAAUCUUAAAAAAGAUGUUUAUAUUUUUAUCUAUAAAUUGUAAAUUUUAUAUAAAUAUAUUGUAUAUUUUU